AAAGACCAAAAGUCUGAACUCUCUAUGAAGAUCAAGGAGUUGCAGGUGAGUUCCAGCAAGCUGUUUACGACAAAACGGAUAUUGAUCUAGUGCGUUCUGAAUGGACAAAUUGUGUAUCAAGUUAUAUAAAGUAGGUAUGCUUUUGAUUAAAACUUUGUGAAUAUUUAGGCUUGGUGAUUGGAAUUGUUCAAUGUAUAGUAUUUUGAAGUAGAUGAUGAAUUCUUGUGUAUUUUGAAAUACUUUACAUACUUGUAGAAGAUGAUU
Molecule: long non-coding RNA, 264 nt
Organism: Ipomoea nil (Japanese morning glory)
Lineage: Eukaryota; Viridiplantae; Streptophyta; Magnoliopsida; Solanales; Convolvulaceae
Exons: 2
Source: RefSeq, a predicted model, not a curated record